This 541-nucleotide long non-coding RNA is filed under the name Gallus gallus (chicken). Lineage: Eukaryota; Metazoa; Chordata; Aves; Galliformes; Phasianidae. The record is from RNAcentral.
GAAAGCUGUGACUAGCAAAUAAGCUUGCCUUUGGAUUAUUUUAUUAAAAUAAUUAAAAAAAAAUACAUUGAUAUAUGACUGAGAAUGGAUUUUAAGAAAAGAAGGGCCAGCACAGGUCUGAAACUGCCAGAAGUCUCCCUGAAGCACUGUAACCUCACUCCAGCACUAUUUGCUUUUCAGGACACAUUUUCACGAAGUAGAAGUGAGGAGUGACUAUGAACUACAGAGCUGAACUCUUAUGGACAGUGGAAACAGUAGAGAAAGAUCUCAUGAAUAUCCAGAUAGAUGCAUUAGCUGCCAGCUGAGAAUCUAUGCAUUAUUGCAUUGCUCUAGAUUUACUGAAAAGCCUGAUACAAAUUACAAAAUGAAUGCUACUCGAUAAAAAGCGUAUCAAUCUAUCUAUCUAUCUAUCUAUCUAUCUAUCUAUUUAUCUAUCUAUUUAUGUAGGUAUGCAUGUAUGUACGUGUUAAACUUCUGGCUAUUCUUUGUAAGAUCUAAUUGUAGAAAUCAAGAUUUCUAAGAAAGGAAAAAUACAAUAAAC